AAUUGCUGAGUCGGGGGUUGCGGGAGGACAUGAAGUUACAAUGGAAGCUCCAUGCUACUAUCAAAGAAAUUAUAAAAGGAUCAGUGCUGUUCUAAGAAACAUAAGGAUGAGUUCCCAGGAAAUAUUCAAGGAGUUAGAAGUACAAAGCUGCAAGAGCCUAUUGGGUCCAAGCCUUCCUUGCAGAUAUCUGAAAUGUUUGGAGGAGCAAAGAAGUGAAUGAACUGUAUUCAACAUCUAAGCUGGAAAAAAAAAAAAUGCAAGAUUCAGAAAAGGAAAAUACAAGCCAAGCCUCUCAUCCUCCCCAAAUAAAAUAUAUAUUUAAUAUAAUAAUAUGAACCCA
RNAcentral lists this long non-coding RNA (340 nucleotides) under Bos indicus x Bos taurus (hybrid cattle). RNAcentral's name for it is "lncRNA (ENSBIXG00000003509.1)". Lineage: Eukaryota; Metazoa; Chordata; Mammalia; Artiodactyla; Bovidae. The record is from RNAcentral.